GCAUAAUAAUAAAAUGAAAAAAUAUCAAUAUAUUUUUAUUGGUAUGAACGUGACAGGCUUUGGGCGGUGUGUUGGGGUCCAGGUUUUUUUGUCUAAUCGAUAGAAAUUUAGAAAUCUAAUAAAAAAUAUGAAAAAAUAUUAAAACAGUUUUCGAAAGUGAGGGCGUGGCAGUUUUGGGUGGUUUAUAGGCGUUACAGUGGGCCUGGUAAUAUGGCUCAACCUUCUAGCUUUUAUGGUUACUGAGAUCGAAUAGAUCAAGAAAUUAUAUACUUAAUAUGGUCGGAAACGUUUCUUUGUACCUGUUACCCUUUUACUUUACGAGUAACGUUUAUAAAAACAAAAAAAUUAGCUUAUUUUCAUGUCGCAUACAUUUGUUUGGAGUAUAUUUAUAUUUAAUAAAUUGUCCAUUUAAUUCCAAAAUGUUUGGAAUACAUUAAUACUAUGACUUUCAGAGCUUGAUUACACUUCAAUAUUAAGAUUCCGAGAAACCAACGAAAUGCCAAUUAUGAAAUGACCUUAAAACUAUGCGGGUUAUUGCAGAAAUGGUAUUUGGAAGCCCAACCCAGUUGCAAUAUAUUAUCAACGGCCCGUUUGGACCGUAUCUGUACAUCAACGACAACGAGGAGCUUUGAAAACCGAAAGCUUUUGGCUCCAGAAUUAGCAUCAGGAUCGAGGACGAAAAUAGUCCAGAAACAGUGAGAAUUAAUUGUAUUACAUGCUAUAAAUUUUAAAGCUGGAGUAUUACGAAAACAUUCUUUCAUAAAUUUUGAUGGAUGGCCAACCAACUUCAAAACAAGCACUUGAAACCCAUGGGAGAGCGUGACGGAGAUCUCGAUAUGGUUGGCGUAUGUAUGUGGCACUGAAAGAAGAGACUGAUGCAAAAUGUAGAAAAGCCCAAACACACAGCAGCACUUGUCAAGACUUGGCUCGUCUGGAAAUGCACUCACGUAUUUAGAAAUUACGCCAGCAGUCCGCAGACAUGUAAUCAAAAAUUUGACAGCCUUAAAGACGGAUUUGCUUUUGUCUUUCUUAGUCUAGCAGCAAUUUCCCAACUGCGCGAAACAAGCUGUGACCUACGGUAGUUUGAGUGAAUAAAUGUAUAUAAAUGAAGAGUAUAA
Long non-coding RNA from Drosophila sechellia, 1118 nucleotides. RefSeq lists it as uncharacterized. The transcript has 2 exons. The record is from RefSeq and is a predicted model, not a curated record. NCBI's taxonomy places the organism in Eukaryota, Metazoa, Arthropoda, Insecta, Diptera, Drosophilidae.